RNAcentral lists this long non-coding RNA (535 nucleotides) under Setaria viridis. Its description in RNAcentral is "long non-coding RNA (SVIR_LNC005165)". Lineage: Eukaryota; Viridiplantae; Streptophyta; Magnoliopsida; Poales; Poaceae. The record is from RNAcentral.
UCCGGAGGAUCUAAUCUUGCAAUUGAAGCUCCAGAUGCUACUAGUGAUUACAACCAUACUAACAGUAAAAUAUGUCAAAAAUAAAAUUAAACGUUGAGUCUGAAUUUUAACUCCAGCCACAACAUCCGCGACGGUGAAAGAGUCUCUAGCCUAGUAGUUAUAGCACCUGAGUAACAUUUUUAGUAGGCUCAGGUUCAACUCCCCAUAGGAGUGAAUUAAACGGGUCAAGAAUAAAAAAAUUAUAAAAAAAUAGGUAGGGUCAAAGAAACAUCUGCGAUGUAUUGACUAUUAUGACUAUCUAGAGAUAUUAGGUCGUCGGCUUCUCUAAUCUUACCGUCUACUCCCUCCAUCCCAAAUUACUAUUUGUUUUGGCUUUUCUAGAUGCAAGCCAUGGCUUGGCUUGCAUCUAGAAAAGCCAAAACAAAUAGUAAUUUGGGCAUGGCUUGCAUAUAGAAAAGCCAAAACAAAUAGUAAUUUAGGACGAAGGGAGCAAGACAUUUCUACUAUAAAUACUAUGCAUAUUAGAAUAUACUGC